This 448-nucleotide ribosomal RNA is filed under the name uncultured bacterium. RNAcentral describes it as "bacterial SSU rRNA". It matches the Rfam family "Bacterial small subunit ribosomal RNA", at positions 355 to 825 of the family's 1533-position model. The record is from RNAcentral.
UGGGGAAUAUUGGACAAUGGGCGCAAGCCUGAUCCAGCCAUGCCGCGUGAGUGACGAAGGCCUUAGGGUUGUAAAGCUCCUUUUGGCGGGGAAGAUAAUGACGGUACCCGCAGAAUAAGCUCCGGCUAACUUCGUGCCAGCAGCCGCGGUAAUACGAAGGGAGCUAGCGUUGUUCGGAAUCGCUGGGCGUAAAGCGCACGUAGGUGGGCAGUUAAGUCAGGGGUGAAAGCCCGAGGCUCAACCUCGGAAUUGCCUCUGAUACUGGCUGUCUAGAGUUCGAGAGAGGUGAGUGGAAUUCCUAGUGUAGAGGUGAAAUUCGUAGAUAUUAGGAAGAACACCGGUGGCGAAGGCGGCUCACUGGCUCGAUACUGACACUGAGGUGCGAAAGCGUGGGGAGCAAACAGGAUUAGAUACCCGCGUAGUCCCUGAGCGGGCUGGCAAGGCGCAU